GCUGCAAAGAGAAACCAAGGGAAAACAAGUGUAAAAGAAGUAGCACUCAUUGAUCUUUUCAUGACCAUUUACUAGUAAAGCUAAACUAUGGAGGAAUAAACCAAACAAUCUCACAAUGGAGUACCAUUUAUAGUAUCUUUCAUGUUGAUCCUCACAAACACGUUGAGAUGUAAAUAGGAAGUUCCGGUUGAUUUAUUAAUUUUGUAGAUAUUGAUAGGAAGUAAAUUGGACAACAAUUUAAACCAACAAAUUCUUCCUACUUGUGUGAACCUAUGAAGAACAACAACUGAGUAUAUAUGCAGGAAAUAAUCACAAUAAUAGGCUGCUCAAAAGAUGCACAAAUCAAUCACAGAAGAACAAGGCAAUUUCAAAGUGAAGGAUAAAACCACCACACCUCUCUUGGUCCAAUUGAAACAGCUUCACGAAAAAGUUUUAUAGCAAUUACAAACACCAUAAACAAUUUUCAACCAAAAAUCUCAAGACAAUUCAAAUAAAUUAAUAAGAGAUAGCUAAGUUUUGGAGAGAUUCACCAAAAUACAUAGCUGCUGCCUAUCCAAAUUGACCUUCUAGUCGUCAAAACCCGAUCUCCACCAUCCAAAUUAAAAAACAAUAUGUCUCCACUGUGCCCACCAAAAAAUUCAGCUCAAUCAGACCACAAUGACUUUCCGAUUGCUGUAAAUGAUGAAACUGGUCCGUUCAGAGAUUCAAUAAAAACAGCAGCUGUUUACGUAACCAAAAACAGUAGAAUCAGAGCUCGAAACAAGAUCCCUACCGUUCACAAUGAAGAACCAGAUGUGAAGAUGCUGCAGACCAAAUUUGAGCUUGAUCCAACGGUAAACAAGCUCAGAAAUCUCAGAAAUGUGAACUGUCCUCCUUGAAAAAUCUGCAGAAUGCUCUGUUUCCCUUGUUUUUCUCACUUCUCUUCUCUGGUGUUUGGGCACUCAAAAUGAGAUUUUGUGGCUGUGUGAAUUAGUGCAACAGAAAGCAAACAUAUAUAUGUAGCCCUAAUGGGCCAAAAUAAUUGUGGAAUUCAACAAAAUGGACUCUCUCCACAUAGGAGGGACCCAAGCGCAACAGAAAUUACAUGAUUUAACUCGAGGGAAUCACAAGUGUCUGUGCUUUAUUUAUGCAAGUAUUUCUGAUUGUCGCUGCUGUCGGAAUCUGUUUUGUAUUUAUCUUUGAAGGAUGAAAGCUAUACUGCUCGUGUAGGAAUAUAUUCAUAAUGAUGAUCACCUUCAAAUUUGAGUCACGCACAGAAUUCUUGUGGUGGUCUUAGGCUCCAGAUGGGAAGCUAAAACGCUGGUUUAAAACUCUUUUUUUGGAAAAGUAUUAUUUUAGGCGCUGUUAAAAGAAGUAGUUUAUUGUUUUGGAGUUUUUAGGAUUAAAAUUAAAAUUUAGAGGUACUUAAUAAAUAUUUUUGGGAUAAUGUUUUUCCCAACAAAUACAAUGCCAAGCAAACCUUGUGAUGCCUGGAUAAUUGAGGCUUUAGUAUUCUUUUGAGUUUAAGGUCUUUAUUUUUCCUAAUCCCCACUUUUAUUUGUACGCGCUCUUAGGGAGCUGUCCCUUCGAAAUAAGUGAUAGGCAAGAGAAGCUCUUUAAAUGCAUUUUCUGUCCAUGUAAACCAAUUUGUUACACUGAUAAAACAGAAAUGAGUUUUUCUCAAUUUUCUAAUUUCAGCUAUACAUGAUAAGGGGAAAGAAAAAAAAUUUUGAGACUGGUUCUCAACUCCUUGCAAUAUUUAUUCAUAUUUUGCAUGGUCAAGAAGAAUCACUGUUUUCUCAUGCAUAGGUUCCAUUUCCAAAUCUCAUGCA
Molecule: unclassified non-coding RNA, 1811 nt
Filed under: Hevea brasiliensis (rubber tree)
Lineage: Eukaryota; Viridiplantae; Streptophyta; Magnoliopsida; Malpighiales; Euphorbiaceae
Source: RNAcentral